UACGUAGGCAGCGAGCGUUGUUCGGAGUUACUGGGCGUAAAGAGUGCGUAGGCGGUUUUCUAAGUUUGGUGUGAAAUCUCCCGGCUUAACUGGGAGGGUGCGCCGAAGACUGGAAGGCUUGAGUAUGGGAGAGGUAAGCGGAAUUCCUGGUGUAGCGGUGAAAUGCGUAGAUAUCAGGAGGAACACCUGCGGUGUAGACGGCCUACUGGACCAUGACUGACGCUGAGGCACGAAAGCGUGGGUAGCAAACAGG
RNAcentral lists this ribosomal RNA (253 nucleotides) under uncultured bacterium. RNAcentral's name for it is "partial 16S ribosomal RNA". It matches the Rfam family "Bacterial small subunit ribosomal RNA", at positions 524 to 776 of the family's 1533-position model. The record is from RNAcentral.